This 30-nucleotide non-coding RNA is filed under the name Mus musculus (house mouse). The record is from RNAcentral. Lineage: Eukaryota; Metazoa; Chordata; Mammalia; Rodentia; Muridae.
UGGACCAUUGUGCACGUUGAUGUUGUGAGU